GACGAACGCUGGCGGCGUGCCUAAUACAUGCAAGUAGAACGCUGAAACUUGGUGCUUGCACCGAGCGGAUGAGUUGCGAACGGGUGAGUAACGCGUAGGUAACCUGCCUGGUAGCGGGGGAUAACUAUUGGAAACGAUAGCUAAUACCGCAUAAGAGUAGAUGUUGCAUGACAUUUGCUUAAAAGGUGCAAUUGCACCACUACCAGAUGGACCUGCGUUGUAUUAGCUAGUUGGUGGGGUAACGGCUCACCAAGGCGACGAUACAUAGCCGACCUGAGAGGGUGAUCGGCCACACUGGGACUGAGACACGGCCCAGACUCCUACGGGAGGCAGCAGUAGGGAAUCUUCGGCAAUGGACGGAAGUCUGACCGAGCAACGCCGCGUGAGUGAAGAAGGUUUUCGGAUCGUAAAGCUCUGUUGUAAGAGAAGAACGAGUGUGGGAGUGGAAAGUUCACACUGUGACGGUAUCUUACCAGAAAGGGACGGCUAACUACGUG
This 497-nucleotide ribosomal RNA is filed under the name uncultured bacterium. RNAcentral's name for it is "partial 16S ribosomal RNA". It matches the Rfam family "Bacterial small subunit ribosomal RNA", at positions 28 to 507 of the family's 1533-position model. The record is from RNAcentral.